RNAcentral lists this transfer RNA (75 nucleotides) under Brucella canis. RNAcentral describes it as "tRNA-Ala (TGC) (tRNA-Ala-TGC-2-1)". It matches the Rfam family "tRNA". Rfam says of the family: Transfer RNA (tRNA) molecules are approximately 80 nucleotides in length. Their secondary structure includes four short double-helical elements and three loops (D, anti-codon, and T loops). Lineage: Bacteria; Pseudomonadati; Pseudomonadota; Alphaproteobacteria; Hyphomicrobiales; Brucellaceae. The record is from RNAcentral. RNAcentral also lists the same sequence under 5 other names.
GGGCCGUAGCUCAGCUGGGAGAGCACCUGCUUUGCAAGCAGGGGGUCGUCGGUUCGAUCCCGUCCGGCUCCACCA